GAGCGGCUUAUCCUCAGCCAUGCUGUGCAGAUGGUACAAUCAGCUGCACUCGAUGAGAUGUUCCAGCACCGAGAGAGCUGUGUACCUCGAUAUCACAAAGCCCUGCUGUUGUUGGAGGGGCUGCAGCACACUCUCACGGACCAGGCAGACAUUGAGAACAUUGCCAAAUGUGAGUGCCUUUCCUUCCCUGCAGCCUGAGUGGGGUGGUAGGCGUGGCCUCCCUGCCUCAUGCUCUGUCCUCCACAGGCAAGCUGUGCAUUGAGAGGAGACUCUCGGCCCUGCUGAGUGGCGUCUAUGCCUGACCACCUGCUGCCAACCUGCAGGGUAGUGUCUGAGACCUGGCAGACUGUCCUCAACACUGAUCUGAUGGUGCUGAGACUGCUGCCAGCCAACUCCAGCAGGGAUGCUACACGGUGGACCUGUGCAUGCAGACUGGUGCAACUCCUGCUUCCUAGGCUGCCAGUCUCUGCUGGCAGGUAGACAUCAGAGUGCCAGGGACAGCUCCCUUACCCACUGGGACAGGAGUUUCUGAACUGUUCUUCCUAGCUGGCUCCCCUGGCAAGCAGGUACGGCGCCAAGAGGUGGUAGCUGAUGUGUGUGGGCACCUGCCACCUGCAGAGCCCAAGGCAGCCCUGUAGACAGGCAAGGCCCUGAGACUGUUGCUGACUCCAAGCCAAAGCAAGCUUUUUCUCACAGUUCACUUGCCCCAUUGCUCGUCCAAGAAAAAAGGGUAUGGUCUUCUGCCCUCCUGAUCUCUCUAGGAACUUCUCCCUUUGAGACUACCCACCCAGCUUUGUAAGUCACUGGAGCACUUUAUGCAUACAGAGACUGGAGAACCUAGCCAGCAGUGCAGACUGCUGGGAACCUGCCUCCUGUUCCUGGCUUUCGUCC
This 891-nucleotide long non-coding RNA is filed under the name Rattus norvegicus (Norway rat). RNAcentral describes it as "long non-coding RNA NONRATT007651". Lineage: Eukaryota; Metazoa; Chordata; Mammalia; Rodentia; Muridae. The record is from RNAcentral.